Molecule: ribosomal RNA, 429 nt
Filed under: Chloroflexota bacterium
Lineage: Bacteria; Bacillati; Chloroflexota
Description: Chloroflexi bacterium partial 16S ribosomal RNA
Rfam family: Bacterial small subunit ribosomal RNA
Source: RNAcentral
UGGGGAAUAUUGCACAAUGGGCGCAAGCCUGAUGCAGCCAUGCCGCGUGUGUGAAGAAGGCCUUCGGGUUGUAAAGCACUUUCAGCAGGGAGGAAGGCGAUAAGGUUAAUAACCUUGUCGAUUGACGUUACCCGCAGAAGAAGCACCGGCUAACUCCGUGCCAGCAGCCGCGGUAAUACGGAGGGUGCAAGCGUUAAUCGGAAUUACUGGGCGUAAAGCGCACGCAGGCGGUUGAUUGAGUCAGAUGUGAAAUCCCCGGGCUUAACCCGGGAAUUGCAUCUGAUACUGGUCAGCUAGAGUCUUGUAGAGGGGGGUAGAAUUCCAUGUGUAGCGGUGAAAUGCGUAGAGAUGUGGAGGAAUACCGGUGGCGAAGGCGGCCCCCUGGACGAAGACUGACGCUCAGGUGCGAAAGCGUGGGGAGCAAACAGG